CAGUCGCCGCGGUAAUACGAAGGGGGCUAGCGUUGCUCGGAAUGACUGGGCGUAAAGGGCGCGUAGGCGGCGAUCAAAGUCAGGCGUGAAAUUCCUGGGCUCAACCUGGGGGCUGCGUUUGAUACUUGAUUGCUAGAGUGGGGAAGAGGGUCGUGGAAUUCCCAGUGUAGAGGUGAAAUUCGUAGAUAUUGGGAAGAACACCGGUGGCGAAGGCGGCGACCUGGUCCUUGACUGACGCUGAGGCGCGAAAGCGUGGGGAGCAAACAGGAUUAGAUACCCCUGUAGUCCCUGUCUCUUAUAC
RNAcentral lists this ribosomal RNA (301 nucleotides) under uncultured bacterium. RNAcentral's name for it is "partial 16S ribosomal RNA". It matches the Rfam family "Bacterial small subunit ribosomal RNA", at positions 509 to 807 of the family's 1533-position model. The record is from RNAcentral.